UAUUGGAGAUGAAGGAGUAGAAAAUACUCCGUCAAACACCAAGCAAGAGUAAUUCGAGCGACAACACAAGAUUAAACAAUAGAGUUUGAUCCGGCGACGAGUGGCGAACGGGUGAGUAAUACAUCGGAACGUGUCCGCUCGUGGGGGACAACCAGCCGAAAGGUUGGCUAAUACCGCAUGAGUUCUACGGAAGAAAGAGGGGGACCCGCAAGGGCCUCUCGCGAGCGGAGCGGCCGAUGACUGAUUAGCCGGUUGGUGAGGUAACGGCUCACCAAAGCAACGAUCAGUAGCUGGUCUGAGAGGACGACCAGCCACACUGGGACUGAGACACGGCCCAGACUCCUACGGGAGGCAGCAGUGGGGAAUUUUGGACAAUGGGCGCAAGCCUGAUCCAGCUAUUCCGCGUGUGGGAUGAAGGCCCUCGGGUUGUAAACCACUUUUGUAGAGAACGAAAAGACACCUUCGAAUAAAGGGUGUUGCUGACGGUACUCUAAGAAUAAGCACCGGCUAACUACGUGCCAGCAGCCGCGGUAAUACGUAGGGUGCGAGCGUUAAUCGGAAUUACUGGGCGUAAAGGGUGCGCAGGCGGUUGAGUAAGACAGAUGUGAAAUCCCCGAGCUUAACUCGGGAAUGGCAUAUGUGACUGCUCGACUAGAGUGUGUCAGAGGGAGGUGGAAUUCCACGUGUAGCAGUGAAAUGCGUAGAUAUGUGGAAGAACACCGAUGGCGAAGGCAGCCUCCUGGGACAUAACUGACGCUCAGGCACGAAAGCGUGGGGAGCAAACAGGAUUAGAUACCCUGGUAGUCCACGCCCUAAACGAUGUUAACUAGUUGUUGGGAAGUAAAAUUCUCAGUAACGCAGCCAACGCGAGAAGUUAACCGCCUGGGAAGUACGGUCGCAAGACUAAAACUCAAAGGAAUUGACGGGGACCCGCACAAGCGGUGGAUGAUGUGGAUUAAUUCGAUGCAACGCGAAAAACCUUACCUACCCUUGACAUGUCAGGAAGCUCUUGU
This 1013-nucleotide ribosomal RNA is filed under the name human gut metagenome. RNAcentral's name for it is "bacterial SSU rRNA". It matches the Rfam family "Bacterial small subunit ribosomal RNA", at positions 70 to 1003 of the family's 1533-position model. The record is from RNAcentral.